Molecule: ribosomal RNA, 356 nt
Filed under: Salmonella enterica subsp. enterica serovar Typhimurium
Lineage: Bacteria; Pseudomonadati; Pseudomonadota; Gammaproteobacteria; Enterobacterales; Enterobacteriaceae
Description: bacterial SSU rRNA
Rfam family: Bacterial small subunit ribosomal RNA
Source: RNAcentral
CUACGGGAGGCAGCAGUGGGGAAUAUUGCACAAUGGGGGAAACCCUGAUGCAGCAACGCCGCGUGAGUGAAGAAGUAUUUCGGUAUGUAAAGCUCUAUCAGCAGGGAAGAAAAUGACGGUACCUGACGAAGAAGCCCCGGCUAACUACGUGCCAGCAGCCGCGGUAAUACGUAGGGGGCAAGCGUUAUCCGGAAUUACUGGGUGUAAAGGGAGCGUAGGUGGUUUCUUAAGUCAGAGGUGAAAGGCUACGGCUCAACCGUAGUAAGCCUUUGAAACUGGGAAACUUGAGUGCAGGAGAGGAGAGUGGAAUUCCUAGUGUAGCGGUGAAAUGCGUAGAUAUUAGGAGGAACACCAGU